Molecule: ribosomal RNA, 253 nt
Filed under: uncultured bacterium
Lineage: Bacteria
Description: partial 16S ribosomal RNA
Rfam family: Bacterial small subunit ribosomal RNA
Source: RNAcentral
UACAGAGGUCCCGAGCGUUGUUCGGAUUCAUUGGGCGUAAAGGGUGCGUAGGCGGUCUUCUAAGUUUGAUGUGAAAUCCCGGGGCUUAACCCUGGAAUUGCAUUGAAUACUGGGGGACUGGAGUCCCGGAGAGGAAACUGGAAUUUACGGUGUAGCAGUGAAAUGCGUAGAGAUCGUAAGGAAGACCAGUGGCGAAGGCGAGUUUCUGGACGGGUACUGACGCUGAGGCACGAAGGCCAGGGGAGCAAACGGG